AUUCCCAAAACCUCAGGACUAACUUUUUUGGUUCUUAGAGAUUGGCCACAAUAUUUUGAUUUUUUUGCCACCGGCUGAAAAGGUUCUUCUACUUUCCACACGCUUAUCUAUUACUUCCACCGCUACCUUUCUCUUUUCUUUUCUUAUCUUCCACCUCAUACGCUUUCCACCAUCUCUUUUUCUUCUAUAUCCAAGGAACAUCCAUGUUUACAACAUCGAACCUUCCGACGGAAAUCACUUUCGGUCGUCUUCCUCACGCCUCUUUCCAACGCCAUCGCUUUCCGCCUAGUUUGGGGCCGACAUCGGCUUCUUUUCUCGCAUGCUCCACCACCACCAUUGGCCGAUCGGAUCUUUACACAGCUCACCGAGCUUAGGAUUGCAGUUUUUUGAUGGGGGUGAUACAGGUAUUGGAACAGUUUGGAAUAGUAUGCUAACUUUGAUUAGUUGUUGAAACAUUUGCCCACCGGCUGUUUGUUAAAAGUGUUUAGUGAAUUUUCAUAUAUUUUUUGUGGAUUCUAACUGAAACUAUUGGUUUAUGAUAGAUAUUUACUCAAACAAACAAAUCAAAGAAUGAAACAUUGGUAUUUUCACACAUUCUUUAUUGAUUAUAUUUUAUUAUUACUAA
Lactuca sativa (garden lettuce) is the source of this 625-nucleotide long non-coding RNA. RefSeq lists it as uncharacterized. Lineage: Eukaryota; Viridiplantae; Streptophyta; Magnoliopsida; Asterales; Asteraceae. The record is from RefSeq and is a predicted model, not a curated record.